AGUGAACGCUGGCGGCAGGCCUAACACAUGCAAGUCGGACGGCAGCACAAGAGAGCUUGCUCUCUGGGUGGCGAGUGGCGGACGGGUGAGGAAUGCAUCGGAAUCUGCCCAUUUGUGGGGGAUAACCUCGGGAAACCGGGACUAAUACCGCAUACGACCUACGGGUGAAAGCAGGGGAUCUUCGGACCUUGCGCAGAUGGAUGAGCCGAUGCCGGAUUAGCUAGUUGGAGGGGUAAAGGCCCACCAAGGCGACGAUCCGUAGCUGGUCUGAGAGGAUGAUCAGCCACACUGGGACUGAGACACGGCCCAGACGCCUACGGGAGGCAGCAGUGGGGAAUAUUGGACAAUGGGCGCAAGCCUGAUCCAGCCAUGCCGCGUGUGUGAAGAAGGCCUUCGGGUUGUAAAGAACUUUUGUUGGGAAAGAAAAGCAGCCGGUUAAUACCCGGUUGUCAUGACGGUACCCAAAGAAUAAGCACCGGCUAACUUCGUG
Molecule: ribosomal RNA, 490 nt
Filed under: uncultured bacterium
Lineage: Bacteria
Description: partial 16S ribosomal RNA
Rfam family: Bacterial small subunit ribosomal RNA
Source: RNAcentral